AAAACAAGAAUUUAGUCAGGAUUUGGCCAGAUGCCGAAAGGAGAAAAGAAGAAAAGUUUUAUAAAAUAAAAUAAAUGAAGAAUGAAUACUAAAUAAAAUCAAAAGGGAUAAUCAAAGAAAAAAAAAUUAUAAAAUAAAAAUAGAAAAUAAAAUAGAAAGUUGUGGGUUGUCUCCCACGAAGCGCUUUGUUUAAUGUCGCAAGCUCGACAUAAAAUUAGUAAAUGUUAAUCUAUAGAUUUAGGAGACAAUACGUCUAAGUGCAGGACUUGCGAGUCUUCAUUGUUUUCAUCAUAGUGAUAAUGUUUCAG
RNAcentral lists this long non-coding RNA (308 nucleotides) under Lathyrus oleraceus (garden pea). Its description in RNAcentral is "Pisum sativum (pea) long non-coding RNA (PSAT_LNC025660)". Lineage: Eukaryota; Viridiplantae; Streptophyta; Magnoliopsida; Fabales; Fabaceae. The record is from RNAcentral.